RNAcentral lists this ribosomal RNA (229 nucleotides) under uncultured bacterium. RNAcentral describes it as "partial 16S ribosomal RNA". It matches the Rfam family "Bacterial small subunit ribosomal RNA", at positions 568 to 796 of the family's 1533-position model. The record is from RNAcentral.
UGCGCAGGCGGGCUAAUAAGUCAGUGGUGAAAUCUUUCGGCUCAACCGGGAAACUGCCAUUGAUACUGUUAGUCUUGAGUUCGGUUGAGGUAGGCGGAAUGUGUAAUGUAGCGGUGAAAUGCUUAGAUAUUACACAGAACACCAAUUGCGUAGGCAGCUUACUAGACCGACACUGACGCUGAGGCACGAAAGCGUGGGGAGCGAACAGGAUUAGAUACCCUGGUAGUCC